GCCUGGCUAUCUCAGUUGGAAGAGCAUGUGACUCUUGAUCUCAGGGUUGUGAGUUGAAGCCUCAUGUUGGGUG
This 73-nucleotide transfer RNA is filed under the name Canis lupus familiaris (dog). It matches the Rfam family "tRNA". From Rfam's summary of the family: Transfer RNA (tRNA) molecules are approximately 80 nucleotides in length. Their secondary structure includes four short double-helical elements and three loops (D, anti-codon, and T loops). Further hydrogen bonds mediate the characteristic L-shaped molecular structure. tRNAs have two regions of fundamental functional importance: the anti-codon, which is responsible for specific mRNA codon recognition, and the 3' end, to which the tRNAs corresponding amino acid is attached (by aminoacyl-tRNA synthetases). tRNAs cope with the degeneracy of the genetic code in two manners: having more than one tRNA (with a specific anti-codon) for a particular amino acid; and 'wobble' base-pairing, i.e. permitting non-standard base-pairing at the 3rd anti-codon position. Lineage: Eukaryota; Metazoa; Chordata; Mammalia; Carnivora; Canidae. RNAcentral also lists the same sequence under 3 other names. The record is from Rfam by way of RNAcentral.